RNAcentral lists this ribosomal RNA (151 nucleotides) under uncultured bacterium. RNAcentral describes it as "partial 16S ribosomal RNA". It matches the Rfam family "Bacterial small subunit ribosomal RNA", at positions 1382 to 1532 of the family's 1533-position model. The record is from RNAcentral.
UGUACACACCGCCCGUCACGCCAUGGAAGCUGGAGGGACCCGAAACCGGUGGGCCAACCGCAAGGGGGCAGCCGUCUAAGGUCAAUUCAGUGACUGGGGCGAAGUCGUAACAAGGUAGCCGUAGGGGAACCUGCGGCUGGAUCACCUCCUU